GUCUCGAGGUGCAUCCAUUUUCCUACAAAUCACUCAAGGUUAUCCUUCUUUAUGACAGAGUCAUACUCCAUUGUGUAUAAAUACCAUUUUCUUUAUCCAUUCAUCUUUUGAUGGGCAUAUGGGCUGUUUCCAAGAUUCAGCUAUUAUAAAUUGUGCUGCUGUAAACAUGGGUGUACAUAUAUCAUUUUGGUGUGAUGCUUUUAUUUCUUCUGGGAAGAUACCUAAAAGGGGGGCAGUUGUGUCAAAUGGAACCUCUAGUUUUAGUUUUUUGAGGAAUCCCAUACUGAUUUCCACAGGGGUUGUACCAGUCUACACUCCCACAGCAGUAGAGAAAGGCUCCUUUUUCCCCACAUGUGGCUGUCAGUUUUGCAGUUUGAAGCAUGACAUUAGGACAACAUAAUUAUGUUUUUCUUCUUCACAAUUUCACAAAUGAAUUUGUUUUUACUGCAGAUCUUCACAGCCUCAGCCUACGUUUUUUUUUUUUCUGUUCUUAUUAAGUUGGGGACUUUUGCCUUUUGAUUUCAAGGAAGCGUUUUCUGGCUUCCCUGUGGCUCACAUGAAUUGCCGACAUCACUACACUUGCAUUAUUAAGUAAAACAAAGGUUGCUUGACUACAAUCAUUGUGCUAUCACUAGCUGAUCUGGUAACUGAGGCAACAAUUAACUGGCCAAUGGGUGGGCAACAGAUACCGCAUGGAUGCAUGGACCACAGAAAUGACGCACGUCCUAGGCAGGAUGGAGGAGAGGACAGAAAAUUUCAUCAUUCUAUUCAGAAUGUUGUGUAAUUUAAAACUUAUGGUUACUUUUUUCUGGAAUUUUCCAGUGAAUAUCUUGAGACUGUGGUUGACCACAGCCAGGCAGAAGUCACUCAUACUAUGGAAAGAUGGACCUCCCCGCUCAGGCACAUCUCUGAGUGGCUUCCGGCUUCCUGUCCCUGAGGUGAAGUGUGCUGGAGCUUCCAGGAGGAGAUCUCCCUCCUCUGAGAGGGAGGAGAGGAGGAGAAGUGCCCUGCUUUGACUGCCGCUGUGCUGAGACACAAUGCUUGGGGCUGCCGCAGCCCUUCCAGUGAUAAGCAGGGAGACGGCAGAAUCACAGAGGAGCCACCCCCGUGCCUGCUGUCGCCAAGCCCCUCGAUAUCCUGGAACCCUCUAUCCAGAUUUCUUGUCGUGCCAGGAGAAUCGCUCCAUUUGCGGAGUCUGCUGUUAGGCAAAUUUCUGUUAUUUGCAACAACAACAA
RNAcentral lists this long non-coding RNA (1235 nucleotides) under Fukomys damarensis (Damara mole-rat). Its description in RNAcentral is "lncRNA (ENSFDAG00000026857.1)". The record is from RNAcentral. Lineage: Eukaryota; Metazoa; Chordata; Mammalia; Rodentia; Bathyergidae.